UACGGGGGGGGGGCAAGCGUUGUUCGGAAUUACUGGGCGUAAAGGGCCAGUAGGCGGCCAACUAAGUCCGACGUGAAAUCCCAAGGCUUAACCUUGGAACUGCGUCGGAUACUGGAUGGCUUGAAUUCGGGAGAGGGAUGCAGAAUUCCAGGUGUAGCGGUGAAAUGCGUAGAUAUCUGGAGGAAUACCGGUGGCGAAGGCGGCAUCCUGGACCGGUAUUGACGCUGAGGCGCGAAAGCCAGGGGAGCAAACGGG
This 255-nucleotide ribosomal RNA is filed under the name uncultured bacterium. RNAcentral's name for it is "partial 16S ribosomal RNA". It matches the Rfam family "Bacterial small subunit ribosomal RNA", at positions 522 to 776 of the family's 1533-position model. The record is from RNAcentral.